RNAcentral lists this long non-coding RNA (210 nucleotides) under Amborella trichopoda. RNAcentral describes it as "long non-coding RNA (ATRI_LNC004755)". The record is from RNAcentral. Lineage: Eukaryota; Viridiplantae; Streptophyta; Magnoliopsida; Amborellales; Amborellaceae.
AUCGUUGCAACAUACCAGCAAUUUCCAGAUUCUGAUCUUGAGGACAAGAUUGAAUUUUAAGGAGGGAGGAGAUGUUAUAUGCCUAACAUGUAGCUCAUCUUGUUUAAUGAUAAGCAUGGUAAAUAAGGAAGGCAAGGGUAUGUAUAUCUCAUGCAGAGUCGUGUAGGAGUAGUUAAUAAAGUCGUGUGUAUCGGGUUGACCAAGUCUUUG